GACGAACGCUGGCGGCGUGCUUAACACAUGCAAGUCGAACGGAAAGGCCCUGCUUUUGUGGGGUGCUCGAGUGGCGAACGGGUGAGUAACACGUGAGUAACCUGCCCUUGACUUUGGGAUAACUUCAGGAAACUGGGGCUAAUACCGGAUAGUAGCUCCUGCUGCAUGGUGGGGGUUGGAAAGUUUCGGCGGUUGGGGAUGGACUCGCGGCUUAUCAGCUUGUUGGUGGGGUAGUGGCUUACCAAGGGUUUGACGGGUAGCCGGCCUGAGAGGGUGACCGGCCACAUUGGGACUGAGAGAGGGCCGAGACUCCUACGGGAGGCAGCAGUGGGGAAUAUUGCACAAUGGGCGGAAGCCUGAUGCAGCAACGCCGCGUGCGGGAUGACGGCCUUCGGGUUGUAAACCGCUUUCGCCUGUGACGAAGCGUGAGUGACGGUAAUGGGUAAAGAAGCACCGGCUAACUACGUG
Molecule: ribosomal RNA, 468 nt
Filed under: uncultured bacterium
Lineage: Bacteria
Description: partial 16S ribosomal RNA
Rfam family: Bacterial small subunit ribosomal RNA
Source: RNAcentral